This is an RNA transcript of Pan troglodytes (chimpanzee), 5646 nucleotides long. It is a transcript of the gene named casein kinase 1 delta, with no coding region annotated. The transcript is spliced from 9 exons. The record is from RefSeq and is a predicted model, not a curated record. NCBI's taxonomy places the organism in Eukaryota, Metazoa, Chordata, Mammalia, Primates, Hominidae.
CAGACGGGCACAGUACCUGCUGCAGCUGCAUGAAGCUCGGGGCACUAUGGGUGAGAAGAGCUAGAAAUGUUGGGGCCAUCAGAGCCCAGGAGGACCAGCCGAGGGAGGAGCAGCUGACAGGUGGGCAGGUGCCCCUAGUCAGGGACAGCAGGACUCCCCAGGAAGAAGGAUCACAGCCACCCGUGGGAGAGCUGGACUCUGUUCAUCAACAGAAAAGCCGUGAGCGAUUCCGCCAACAAGGUCAGUUUUACUAGUCUGGCAGCCCCGCACCCCCGGCUUCUGUAACUCAGAAACUGGGCAGUUCUGAGUGCCCGUCCCUCAUUAGUGACUGAUGGUGGUCUGGCCGGCGGCAUCUCCUGUCUCCAGGCCCUGCUAUGUAAUUUCGGGAAUGGAUGCCCGUCUCCCCGACCUGACCUCCAGCUGUUUGGAGCUGAGGGGUGGAGAGGAAAGACUUGGGGGUGGAGAAAGGCGAGCACCACUGUGGGGCCUGUGGGGGCUGCUUUCCUCUUCUGCAGUGACCUGGACGGGCUGAGGCUGCUGUCUCACUCACGCUGCGGUGCCCACACCACAGCCCUGGUAUGCUGAUGCGUCAAAACACACCUUCACCUGUUUCACAUUCUUGAGUUUCAGCGAGGAUGCGACAGGUCUCGAGACACAUGGACGUAGGACCAUGGGGACGGGUUCUUCAAGGUCCCCAUGCACCUGCAGCCUGGGGGCGGGCUUGUCUGAAGGGCUUUCUUCCCAGUUAUGGGAAUCAAAGGCCCCGAUCUUUGAAGCUGGCCAUCAGCCUGAACGUCCACUCCUUGUUUCCUUUGCAAGGAGGAACAUUCAGAUCCAACACAGAUAAGAAUGUUGACUCCGUCUCCAGGCCGCAGGGACUGGAGGGAGGCAGGUGGUCUGGCCUCGUUUUGUGAAAGGUGGUGGCUUUGCCCUCAAUCUUCAGGCUGGACAUCAGGACCUCCCAGGGCGCGGGCCUGCUCUGUCUCUGGCCUUAGGUGUCAGGAGGUAAGGCCGCAGACGCUGACGUACUGGGAUGCCCCAAGCCCGGGAACUGGCAGCCCAGUGAGGGGGUCUCACCUGUGUCCCCUGAGCCUGGCCUGUCACUCUGUCCACGCCUCAGCUACCUGUCCCCUCCUGCAAAGGGCACCGCCUGUCGCGAGGAACUCACCUGGCUUCCUCGACAUCUCGGGGGACACACGAAAAGCCCCCGCGAGAGCAGCAGGAGCCUGCACGUGGAAGGGGCUGGCGGCCCGAGGUCCCGGGGUAACAGGAGGGCAGAGGGGCUGGGCACGGCGCAGGGUCGGGAGGAGGCCUGGAGCGCUCGCCCCGCCCGGCCCCGCCCCUGGAGCGCCGCGGCCCCGCCCCGCCGGGUUGCUAGGGGAAGUGACGUCACAGCGCGAUGGCGGCGGCUCCUUUAGGCAGCUGAAAGGGGAUUUAGGCCCGGAAGAUCCGAGUCCAUCCGCGGCGGGGAGAGGGCAAGCGGGACCGGUAGGGGCCGGAGCAGCGGCGGCGGCGCUCGGACUGUCCCAUCCGCCCCGUAUUGAGGCGCUGGGAGCGGCGGGGCGACGGGAAAGCGAUGGUGAAAGCGGGGCCGUGAGGGGGGCGGAGCCGGGAGCCGGACCCGCAGUAGCGGCAGCAGCGGCGCCGCCUCCCGGAGUUCAGACCCAGGAAGCGGCCGGGAGGGCAGGAGCGAAUCGGGCCGCCGCCGCCAUGGAGCUGAGAGUCGGGAACAGGUACCGGCUGGGCCGGAAGAUCGGCAGCGGCUCCUUCGGAGACAUCUAUCUCGGUACGGACAUUGCUGCAGGAGAAGAGGUUGCCAUCAAGCUUGAAUGUGUCAAAACCAAACACCCUCAGCUCCACAUUGAGAGCAAAAUCUACAAGAUGAUGCAGGGAGGAGUGGGCAUCCCCACCAUCAGAUGGUGCGGGGCAGAGGGGGACUACAACGUCAUGGUGAUGGAGCUGCUGGGGCCAAGCCUGGAGGACCUCUUCAACUUCUGCUCCAGGAAAUUCAGCCUCAAAACCGUCCUGCUGCUUGCUGACCAAAUGAUCAGUCGCAUCGAAUACAUUCAUUCAAAGAACUUCAUCCACCGGGAUGUGAAGCCAGACAACUUCCUCAUGGGCCUGGGGAAGAAGGGCAACCUGGUGUACAUCAUCGACUUCGGGCUGGCCAAGAAGUACCGGGACGCACGCACCCACCAGCACAUCCCCUAUCGUGAGAACAAGAACCUCACGGGGACGGCGCGGUACGCCUCCAUCAACACGCACCUUGGAAUUGAACAAUCCCGAAGAGAUGACUUGGAGUCUCUGGGCUACGUGCUAAUGUACUUCAACCUGGGCUCUCUCCCCUGGCAGGGGCUGAAGGCUGCCACCAAGAGACAGAAAUAUGAAAGGAUUAGCGAGAAGAAAAUGUCCACCCCCAUCGAAGUGUUGUGUAAAGGCUACCCUUCCGAAUUUGCCACAUACCUGAAUUUCUGCCGUUCCUUGCGUUUUGACGACAAGCCUGACUACUCGUACCUGCGGCAGCUUUUCCGGAAUCUGUUCCAUCGCCAGGGCUUCUCCUAUGACUACGUGUUCGACUGGAACAUGCUCAAAUUUGUUGCUGUCUCGGCUUAAAAUCUGACCUCCCCACCCCCGUGCAUCUGGAUAGUGCAGCACAGACCCGGCUGCCGGCUGCCGGCCGCGCCACCACACCUGCACAGGCUGUUGGAGGCCGCAGGGUCCGGACCCUGAGUGUACUCCUCGUCCGACCAAACGCUCUCAUCCCCACCCCGCUUUCCUCCCCAGCUGUCACCAUUUGGGGCCUGUCUUUGGCCUCCGAUGGUUCCUGUCCCUCUCCUCUUCCUGCACGUGUCAGUGAGCAUGUUCACAGAGGAGCAGGGGGUAGCUGCUGCCCAUUUGGAAGUUUAAGGAAGUUCUGAGCCCACAGGGAGAUGCCAUGGCGAGUGGGGUUUUUUCGAUUGUUGGGGGAGCUGAGAGGCCUGGCUCUGACCCCUUGUGGGGAUGAUGCUGGCAUCCCGUGGGGAGAAACGUGCAGCGUGUGGGGGGCUUUGCAGGCAGUCUCGUCCCAGUGCCCUUUGGUAGGUAUUUUCUCACGUGGCCGGGGCAGCCUAGGACCUAGGGUUGCUUUCUGCCAAAGUUGGUUCCAUUCCGGCCUCACCUCCUGCCUCCUCAGGGUGCCAGCCGGGCCGCCGAUGACGCCGAGCGGGAGCGCAGGGACCGAGAGGAGCGGCUGAGACACUCGCGGAACCCGGCUACCCGCGGCCUCCCUUCCACAGCCUCCGGCCGCCUGCGGGGGACGCAGGAAGUGGCUCCCCCCACACCCCUCACCCCUACCUCACACACGGCUAACACCUCCCCCCGGCCCGUCUCCGGCAUGGAGAGAGAGCGGAAAGUGAGUAUGCGGCUGCACCGCGGGGCCCCCGUCAACAUCUCCUCGUCCGACCUCACUGGCCGACAAGAUACCUCUCGCAUGUCCACCUCACAGAUUCCUGGUCGGGUGGCUUCCAGUGGUCUUCAGUCUGUCGUGCACCGAUGAGAACUCUCCUUAUUGCUGUGAAGGGCAGACAAUGCAUGGCUGAUCUACUCUGUUACCAAUGGCUUUACUAGUGACGCGUCCCCCGGUCUAGGAUCGAAAUGUUAACACCGGGAGCUCUCCAGGCCACUCACCCAGCGACGCUCAUGGGGGAAACAUACUAAACGGACAGACUCCAAGAGCUGCCACCGCUGGGGCUGCACUGCGGCCCCCCACGUGAACUCGGUUGUAACGGGGCUGGGAAGAAAAGCAGAGAGAGAAUUGCAGAGAAUCAGACUCCCUUUCCAGGGCCUCAGCUCCCUCCAGUGGUGGCCGCCCUGUACUCCCUGACGAUUUCCACUGUAACUACCAAUCUUCUACUUGGUUAAGACAGUUUUGUAUCAUUUUGCUAAAAAUUAUUGGCUUAAAUCUGUGUAAAGAAAAUCUGUCUUUUUAUUGUUUCUUGUCUGUUUUUGCAGUCUUACAAAAAAAAUGUUGACUAAGGAAUUCUGAGACAUGCUGGCUUGGAGUUUGUGUAUGAGGUGGAGUCGGGCAGGGAGAAGGUGCAGGUGGAUCUCAAGGGUGUGUGCUGUGUUUGUUUUGCAGUGUUUUAUUGUCCACUUUGGAGAGGAGAUUUCUCAUCAAAAGUCCGUGGUGUGUGUGCGUGCCCGUGUGUGGUGGGACCUCUUCAACCUGAUUUUGGCGUCUCACCCUCCCUCCUCCUGUAAUUGACAUGCCUGCUGUCAGGAACUCUUGAGGUCCUCGGAGAGCAGUUAGGGACCGCAGGCUGCCGCGGGGCAGGGGUGCGGUGGGUGUUACCAGGCAAAGCACUGCGCGCUUCUUCCCCAGGAGGUGGGCAGGCAGCUGAGAGCUUGGAAGCAGAGGCUUUGAGACCCUAGCAGGACAAUUGGGAGUCCCAGGAUUCAAGGUGGAAGAUGCGUUUCUGGUCCCUUGGGAGAGGACUGUGACCCGAGUGGUGGUUACUGUAGUGUUUGUUGCCUUGCUGCCUUUGCACUCGGUCCAUUUUCUCAGCACUCAAUGCUCCUGUGCGGAUUGGCACUCGGUCUGUGUGAAUGCCUGUGCUUAAAACCAGGAGCGGGGCUGUCCUUGCCACGUGCCAAGACUAGCUCAGAAAAGCCGGCAGGCCAGAAGGACCCACCCUGAGGUGCCAAGGAGCAGGUGACUCUCCCAACUGGACCCAGAACCUUCACGGCCAGAAAGUAGAGUCUGCGCUGUGACCUUCUGUUGGGUGCGUGUCUGUUGGUCAGAAGUGAAGCAGCGUGCGUGGGGCCGAGUCCCACCAGAAGGCAGGUGGCCUCCGUGAGCUGGUGCUGCCCCAGGCUCCAUGCUGCAGUGCCCUGAGGUUCCCAGGAUGCCUUCUCGCCUCUCACUCCGCAGCACUUGGGCGGUAGCCAGUGGCCAUGUGGUCCCAACCGCGAUGCGCAGGGCAGUCUGUGUUCGUGGGCACUUCGGCUGGACCCCAUCACGAUGGACGAUGUUCCCUUUGGACUCUAGGGCUCCGAAGGUGUGCACCUUGGUUCUCCCUUCUCCAACCCAGAGUUCCCCAGAUGACAUAACUGGCUGGCAUCCCAGAACACAGUUGUUCACCCCCCCCCCCAGCUGGCUGGCCGUCUGCCUGAGCCCAUGGAUGCUUUCUCAAUCCUAGGCUGGUUACUGUGUAAGCGUUAUGGAGUACGGGGCCUUGAGCGGGUGGGAGCUGUGUGUUGAAGUACAGAGGGAGGUCGGGGUGGGUCAGAGCCGAGUUAAGAGAUUUUCUUUGUUGCUGGACCCCUUCUUGAAGGUAGACGUCCCCCACCCGGAGAGACGUCGCGCUGUGGCCUGAAGUGGCGCAAGCUUGCUUUGUAAAUAUCUGUGGUCCCGAUGUAGUGCCCAGAACGUUUGUGCGAGGCAGCUCUGCGCCCGGGUUCCAGCCCGAGCCUCGCCAGGUCGCGUCUUCGGAGUGCUUGUGACAGUCCUUGCCCAGUAUCUAGUCCCCGUCGCCCUGUGCAGGAGACGUAGGUAGGACGUCGUGUCAGCUGUGCACUGGCGGCCAGUCUCCGAGCUGUGCGUUUGUAUCGCCACUGUAUUUGUGUACUUUAACAAUUGUGUAAAUAAUAAAUUCAUAAUGACUUCUA